UGGGGAAUAUUGCACAAUGGGCGCAAGCCUGAUGCAGCCAUGCCGCGUGUAUGAAGAAGGCCUUCGGGUUGUAAAGUACUUUCAGCGAGGAGGAAGGCAUUAUGGUUAGUAAACCUAGUGAUUGACGUUACUCGCAGAAGAAGCACCGGCUAACUCCGUGCCAGCAGCCGCGGUAAUACGGAGGGUGCAAGCGUUAAUCGGAAUUACUGGGCGUAAAGCGCACGCAGGCGGUCUGUCAAGUCGGAUGUGAAAUCCCCGGGCUCAACCUGGGAACUGCAUCGAAACUGACAGGCUAGAGUCUUGUAGAGGGGGUAGAAUUCCAGGUGUAGCGGUGAAAUUGCGUAGAGAUCUGGAGGAAUACCGGUGGCGAAGGCGGCCCCCUGACAAAGACUGACGCUCAGGUGCGAAAGCGUGGGAGCAAACA
RNAcentral lists this ribosomal RNA (424 nucleotides) under uncultured Enterobacteriaceae bacterium. Its description in RNAcentral is "bacterial SSU rRNA". It matches the Rfam family "Bacterial small subunit ribosomal RNA", at positions 355 to 774 of the family's 1533-position model. The record is from RNAcentral. Lineage: Bacteria; Pseudomonadati; Pseudomonadota; Gammaproteobacteria; Enterobacterales; Enterobacteriaceae.